GGUUGUGGCUCAGUGGUAGAGCAAUUGCUUGGCACAUGUAAGGCACUGGGUUCAAUUCUCAGCACCA
This 67-nucleotide transfer RNA is filed under the name Marmota monax (woodchuck). Its description in RNAcentral is "tRNA.Ala". The record is from RNAcentral. Lineage: Eukaryota; Metazoa; Chordata; Mammalia; Rodentia; Sciuridae.